RNAcentral lists this ribosomal RNA (945 nucleotides) under Triticum aestivum (bread wheat). RNAcentral describes it as "partial small subunit ribosomal RNA". The record is from RNAcentral. Lineage: Eukaryota; Viridiplantae; Streptophyta; Magnoliopsida; Poales; Poaceae.
AUGUAUAUGUCGACAAUGGAGGUGGCGAAGCCCCGGCAGGUGGCGCGGAGGUUCCAGGCGCGGCCGCAGCACGAGGGCGCCGGCGCCGUCGUCCGCCGCAGCAUCGGCAGGUUCGAGCUGAGGUAUUUCGAUCCGUUCCUCGUCCUGGACGAGUUCUCAGCUUCUGCGCCGGCCGGGUUCCCUGACCAUCCACACCGGGGCUUCGAGACCGUCACCUACAUGCUCGAGGGGGCGGUGACGCACGAGGACUUCGAGGGCCACCGUGGCACGAUCAAGGCCGGCGACGUGCAGUGGAUGACGGCCGGCCGCGGCAUCGUGCACUCCGAGAUGCCGGCCGGCCCCGGCACCUCCAAGGGCCUCCAGCUCUGGGUCAACCUCGCCUCCAAGAACAAAAUGGUCGAGCCCGGGUACCAGGAGUUCCAGAGCAAGGACAUCGCGUCCACCACGUCGGCGGACGGCGACGUGACGGUGCGCGUCAUCGCGGGGGAGGCCAUGGGCGCCCGGUCGCCGGUGCGCACGCGGACGCCGACCAUGUACCUCGACUUCACGGUGCGCCCGCACGCCACCGCGCCCGUGCGGCAGCCGGUGCCGGCCUCGUGGAACGCCUUCGUGUACGUGCUCGAGGGCGAGGGCGUGUUCGGGCCGAUGACAGACCAGAAGCAGCAGGCGGCGCAGCCGGCGGGGGCGCACCACCUGCUGUUGUUGGGGCAGGACGGCGACGGCGUGGAGGUUUGGAACAGGUCGGACAAGCCGCUCCGGUUCGUGCUCGUGGCCGGCGAGCCCAUCGGCGAGCCCGUGGCGCAGCUGGGCCCGUUCGUGAUGAACACCGAGGAGGAGAUCGACGCCACCGUCAACGACUUCGAGUACUUCAUCAACGGGUUCGAGAAGGCCAAGCAUUGGAAGUCGCAGGCCAUGAUCGCGCUAGAGCUAGAAUACGUAGGGUGA